UCUCCCCUCUUCAUGUCCAAAGAGUUGGACAUCCAUCUAGCAAAGGUCCAAGGUGUGGUGGCGCCUGGAACAGAGGGCUGCAGGACAUCUUCGACAGGCUGCUGCUCUAACUUCAGAAGGAGUUCUGAAGCACUUCCAGAUCAGAUAGAGUUCUGAUUUUUGGAGUAUAGAUUUGUGAGGAGAAGAUAUUCUAGGUCUUGCCUGAGUGGAUACUGGUAGAGGUUAGGCACUUGCGUGGCUACAUCAGAACCUCGGGCUGUGCAGAGAUCAUCUACAGGGUAAUCAGAUUACCCUUGAGG
RNAcentral lists this long non-coding RNA (299 nucleotides) under Elaeis guineensis (African oil palm). Its description in RNAcentral is "long non-coding RNA (EGUI_LNC074448)". Lineage: Eukaryota; Viridiplantae; Streptophyta; Magnoliopsida; Arecales; Arecaceae. The record is from RNAcentral.